GAAGCCUUCCAGAUGAUGAAGCUCAGAGAAGGAAGAUGUCCUUCCUAGGGGCACACCGCAAAGCACACAGAUUCCAGCCAGGGUCCUUGGGUCUCCAGCAGGAGCGCUCUUCUACCACACCCAGCUGCCCGCACUGGGGGCUUCCCUGUGUGUGUGGUGUGUGCACUUCUUCCACCUGAGACGGAUCCACCCAUACAGAAGUGUUGGGGACAGCACGCACGGCCUUUCCUGGAUCAGUCUGUGUUGGGACGACUCAAGGGAACUCAGUGCUGAUGCUCCAGGGCUUACUGUCUGCUGACAUGUUGUCAGGAUCCGGAAGGGAGGUGUUUUGGCAUCAAGAAUAUUUUUCAUAUCCCCUAACAGGUGCUGUGGUGACUCCUACUCCUCUGGUCCUGAUGCAACUUGAAAUGUGGCUCAAAGGAAAGAAGAAACACCGCCUUUGGCACUUGGUGUCUGAAAAUUUCUACAGAGAAUUUCAACGUUUAUACGCCAUCAUUUUGAGGGAACUGCAGAAAUGGAGGAAUUUCUAAAAAACCUCACCAGAGAAAGAAUGAGAUGUAGAAACUUGCCAAAUCCAGCAAGCGUGAAGCAAACAUUCAACAAUACCCAUGAAGACUCUUCUCACUCUCUCCUCCAUGUCUUCUCAAAAUACUAGGAAGAUGCUGAUGCCAAAGUUAGCAGACUAAGGUAAGAAUUGGUGAGAAACCCAUUUUGAUUGUUACAUAGAAUUAGAAAAUCCAGUUUAAAAUAGAAUCAUGAUUGGAGUUUUUGUUGUGAGGAUGGUACUUAAGGUAGAUCCAAGAGUCAUGAGAAUUCCUAAGUUUUUAUUCCAGGUAAGUGAGAGGAGAAGAAAUUAUGCAAGUUCACUUUAACCAGAUUGUGUCUUAUAAAGUUAACAUUUCCUUUUGUUUCAACGGGUAGGAGGGGAAAUUAUAGAAAAGUAAUAGGAUCUAAACUUAAGUAAAAUUAUUAGGCUUUUUUUUUCUUUUCUUUUUUCUAUUUUUAGGAGUUUCUCUUUGUGUCGGGCAAAUUACCUAGACAAAUCUUUAGCAAAAAUAAAAUGAGAACUAAUCGAUUAGGCA
This 1082-nucleotide long non-coding RNA is filed under the name Bos indicus x Bos taurus (hybrid cattle). RNAcentral describes it as "lncRNA (ENSBIXG00000005083.1)". The record is from RNAcentral. Lineage: Eukaryota; Metazoa; Chordata; Mammalia; Artiodactyla; Bovidae.